RNAcentral lists this ribosomal RNA (427 nucleotides) under uncultured Neisseriaceae bacterium. RNAcentral's name for it is "bacterial SSU rRNA". It matches the Rfam family "Bacterial small subunit ribosomal RNA", at positions 355 to 774 of the family's 1533-position model. Lineage: Bacteria; Pseudomonadati; Pseudomonadota; Betaproteobacteria; Neisseriales; Neisseriaceae. The record is from RNAcentral.
UGGGGAAUUUUGGACAAUGGGGGAAACCCUGAUCCAGCCAUGCCGCGUGUAUGAAGAAGGCCUUAGGGUUGUAAAGUACUUUUGUUAGGGAAGAAAAGCUAGUUUUUAAUAAAAAUUAGUGAUGACGGUACCUAAAGAAUAAGCACCGGCUAACUACGUGCCAGCAGCCGCGGUAAUACGUAGGGUGCAAGCGUUAAUCGGAAUUAUUGGGCGUAAAGCGAGUGCAGACGGUUACUUAAGCCAGAUGUGAAAUCCCCAAGCUUAACUUGGGACGUGCAUUUGGAACUGGGUGACUAGAGUGUGUCAGAGGGAGGUAGAAUUCCACAUGUAGCGGUGGAAUGCGUAGAGAUGUGGAGGAAUACCGAUGGCGAAGGCAGCCUCCUGGGAUAACACUGACGUUGAGGCUCGAAAGCGUGGGGAGCAAACA